UGGGUUGUGGCUCAGAGGUAGAGUGCUUGCCUAGCAUGCAUGAGGCACUGGGUUUAAUCCUCAGCACUACAU
Molecule: transfer RNA, 72 nt
Filed under: Ictidomys tridecemlineatus (thirteen-lined ground squirrel)
Lineage: Eukaryota; Metazoa; Chordata; Mammalia; Rodentia; Sciuridae
Also listed under: 1 other name
Description: Spermophilus tridecemlineatus (thirteen-lined ground squirrel) tRNA
Rfam family: tRNA
About the family: Transfer RNA (tRNA) molecules are approximately 80 nucleotides in length. Their secondary structure includes four short double-helical elements and three loops (D, anti-codon, and T loops).
Source: Rfam by way of RNAcentral